Molecule: ribosomal RNA, 1722 nt
Filed under: Proteus mirabilis
Lineage: Bacteria; Pseudomonadati; Pseudomonadota; Gammaproteobacteria; Enterobacterales; Morganellaceae
Description: partial 23S ribosomal RNA
Rfam family: Bacterial large subunit ribosomal RNA
Source: RNAcentral
GUUGGGUAGGGGAGCGUUCUGUAAGCCUGCGAAGGUGUACUGUGAGGUAUGCUGGAGGUAUCAGAAGUGCGAAUGCUGACAUAAGUAACGAUAAUGCGGGUGAAAAACCCGCACGCCGGAAGACCAAGGGUUCCUGUCCAACGUUAAUCGGGGCAGGGUGAGUCGACCCCUAAGGCGAGGCUGAAAAGCGUAGUCGAUGGGAAACGGGUUAAUAUUCCCGUACUGGUGGUAACUGCGAUGGGGGAACGGAGAAGGCUAGGUUGUCCGGGCGACGGUCGUCCCGGUUCAAGCAGGUAGGCAGAGUGAUUAGGCAAAUCCGGUCACUUAAUGCUGAGAUGUGAUGACGAACCACUAAGGUGGUGAAGCAAUUGAUGCCCCGCUUCCAGGAAAAGCCUCUAAGCUUCAGGUUACCAACAAUCGUACCCCAAACCGACACAGGUGGUCAGGUAGAGAAUACUCAGGCGCUUGAGAGAACUCGGGUGAAGGAACUAGGCAAAAUGGUGCCGUAACUUCGGGAGAAGGCACGCUGGCGGUAGGUAAAGUCCCUUGCGGACGGCGCUGAAGCCAGUCGAAGAUACCAGCUGGCUGCAACUGUUUAUUAAAAACACAGCACUGUGCAAACACGAAAGUGGACGUAUACGGUGUGACGCCUGCCCGGUGCUGGAAGGUUAAUUGAUGGGGUUAGCGCAAGCGAAGCUCCUGAUCGAAGCCCCAGUAAACGGCGGCCGUAACUAUAACGGUCCUAAGGUAGCGAAAUUCCUUGUCGGGUAAGUUCCGACCUGCACGAAUGGCGUAAUGAUGGCCAGGCUGUCUCCACCCGAGACUCAGUGAAAUUGAACUCGCUGUGAAGAUGCAGUGUACCCGCGGCAAGACGGAAAGACCCCGUGAACCUUUACUAUAGCUUGACACUGAACAUUGAGCCUUGAUGUGUAGGAUAGGUGGGAGGCUUUGAAGUGUGGACGCCAGUCUGCAUGGAGCCAACCUUGAAAUACCACCCUUUAACGUUUGAUGUUCUAACCUAGGCCCAUAAACUGGGUCGGGGACCGUGUCUGGUGGGUAGUUUGACUGGGGCGGUCUCCUCCUAAAGAGUAACGGAGGAGCACGAAGGUUGGCUAAGCAUGGUCGGACAUCAUGCGGUUAGUGCAAAGGCAUAAGCCAGCUUGACUGCGAGAGUGACGGCUCGAGCAGGUACGAAAGUAGGUCUUAGUGAUCCGGUGGUUCUGAAUGGAAGGGCCAUCGCUCAACGGAUAAAAGGUACUCCGGGGAUAACAGGCUGAUACCGCCCAAGAGUUCAUAUCGACGGCGGUGUUUGGCACCUCGAUGUCGGCUCAUCACAUCCUGGGGCUGAAGUAGGUCCCAAGGGUAUGGCUGUUCGCCAUUUAAAGUGGUACGCGAGCUGGGUUUAGAACGUCGUGAGACAGUUCGGUCCCUAUCUGCCGUGGGCGUUGGAAGAUUGAGAGGGGUUGCUCCUAGUACGAGAGGACCGGAGUGAACGCACCACUGGUGUUCGGGUUGUCAUGCCAAUGGCAUUGCCCGGUAGCUAAGUGCGGAAGAGAUAACCGCUGAAAGCAUCUAAGCGGGAAACUUGCCUCGAGAUGAGUCUUCCCUGUCGCUUUAAGCGACCUAAAGGAACGUUUAAGACUAAGACGUUGAUAGGCUGGGUGUGUAAGCGUAGCGAUACGUUGAGCUAACCAGUACUAAUGAACCGUGAGGCUUAACCUG